Phyllopteryx taeniolatus (common seadragon) is the source of this 446-nucleotide long non-coding RNA. RefSeq lists it as uncharacterized. The transcript is spliced from 3 exons. NCBI's taxonomy places the organism in Eukaryota, Metazoa, Chordata, Actinopteri, Syngnathiformes, Syngnathidae. The record is from RefSeq and is a predicted model, not a curated record.
GGAGCAGUCGUGACCUGGAAAAAGAGAGCGUCAAGAGAAGACAUUGUCACAAUCAACAGAACAUCAAUUGGAACAUGAAAACGGCACGCCACAAUGACGCUAUACAGGCACUGUCCACUUAGGAGGAAUAAGAGCCAUUUUGCAAGUAGACAACUCCUUUUUUCGCCUAAGGGGAAAACAACAACACUGCUCAGCUGGACCAAGAGAAGUAAACUGUCUCUUAGAUUCAUUCAAAAGUGGAGUCUGCUUACUGGAACUACUUGUACAUGGUUGCAGAUAAUUACAUCCAGGCUGCCUCUGUCCAGUCUACUUACAAUCCAUCCAUAGAUGUUCCAUCGCCUAUCCUGUUCAGGGUCACAGGUGAGCUGGAGACUAUCCUGGCUGACUGGGUUGGAUUCACACUCACUGAGCAAUUUGUAAGAUUCAAUUACCUAAAAUGUGUGGUU